ACUGGGAGCGUGGCGUCUCCUGUAAUCCGGCUACUCGGAGGUCGGGUACAGAGGAUGGUUUGAGGUUGGGAGUCCUGUUACUGUGUGGUCCAUGUUGACUGGACGUCCACACUAAGCCUGGUAUUAAUAUGGACCCCCCGGAGGAGUCUGGGGGGUGCAGGUUAACUAAGGAGAGGCGAAUCGGGCCAGGGGGGAAACCCAGCAGCCAAAAGUCUCCGUAUCGGGCAGUAGUGGGAUAGCGGCCGGGAGUGGACGCUCAAUAACAGCCCGACCAAUACAAUCAGACCUGUUCCUUU
This is a non-coding RNA of Danaus plexippus plexippus, 296 nucleotides long. It matches the Rfam family "Metazoan signal recognition particle RNA". From Rfam's summary of the family: The signal recognition particle (SRP) is a universally conserved ribonucleoprotein. NCBI's taxonomy places the organism in Eukaryota, Metazoa, Arthropoda, Insecta, Lepidoptera, Nymphalidae. The record is from Rfam.